UCCAGGCAGGGAUGGUGCUG
Molecule: unclassified non-coding RNA, 20 nt
Filed under: Mus musculus (house mouse)
Lineage: Eukaryota; Metazoa; Chordata; Mammalia; Rodentia; Muridae
Description: oocyte_clustered_small_RNA12733
Source: RNAcentral